This 492-nucleotide ribosomal RNA is filed under the name uncultured bacterium. Its description in RNAcentral is "partial 16S ribosomal RNA". It matches the Rfam family "Bacterial small subunit ribosomal RNA", at positions 29 to 507 of the family's 1533-position model. The record is from RNAcentral.
AGUGAACGCUGGCGGUAGGCCUAACACAUGCAAGUCGAACGGCAGCACAGUAAGAGCUUGCUCUUACGGGUGGCGAGUGGCGGACGGGUGAGGAAUACAUCGGAAUCUACUUUUUCGUGGGGGAUAACGUAGGGAAACUUACGCUAAUACCGCAUACGACCUACGGGUGAAAGCAGGGGAUCUUCGGACCUUGCGCGAUUGAAUGAGCCGAUGUCGGAUUAGCUAGUUGGCGGGGUAAGGGCCCACCAAGGCGACGAUCCGUAGCUGGUCUGAGAGGAUGAUCAGCCACACUGGAACUGAGACACGGUCCAGACCCCUACGGGAGGCAGCGGUGGGGAAUAUUGGACAAUGGGCGCAAGCCGGAUCCAGCCAUACCGCGUGGGGGAAGAAGGCCUUCGGGUUGUAAAGCCCUUUUGUUGGGAAAGAAAAGCAGCAGGUUAAUACCCCGCUGUUCUGACGGUACCCAAAGAAUAAGCACCGGCUAACUUCGUG